RNAcentral lists this ribosomal RNA (743 nucleotides) under Escherichia coli. RNAcentral's name for it is "partial 23S ribosomal RNA". It matches the Rfam family "Bacterial large subunit ribosomal RNA", at positions 450 to 1194 of the family's 2925-position model. The record is from RNAcentral. Lineage: Bacteria; Pseudomonadati; Pseudomonadota; Gammaproteobacteria; Enterobacterales; Enterobacteriaceae.
GGACCAUCCUCCAAGGCUAAAUACUCCUGACUGACCGAUAGUGAACCAGUACCGUGAGGGAAAGGCGAAAAGAACCCCGGCGAGGGGAGUGAAAAAGAACCUGAAACCGUGUACGUACAAGCAGUGGGAGCACGCUUAGGCGUGUGACUGCGUACCUUUUGUAUAAUGGGUCAGCGACUUAUAUUCUGUAGCAAGGUUAACCGAAUAGGGGAGCCGAAGGGAAACCGAGUCUUAACUGGGCGUUAAGUUGCAGGGUAUAGACCCGAAACCCGGUGAUCUAGCCAUGGGCAGGUUGAAGGUUGGGUAACACUAACUGGAGGACCGAACCGACUAAUGUUGAAAAAUUAGCGGAUGACUUGUGGCUGGGGGUGAAAGGCCAAUCAAACCGGGAGAUAGCUGGUUCUCCCCGAAAGCUAUUUAGGUAGCGCCUCGUGAAUUCAUCUCCGGGGGUAGAGCACUGUUUCGGCAAGGGGGUCAUCCCGACUUACCAACCCGAUGCAAACUGCGAAUACCGGAGAAUGUUAUCACGGGAGACACACGGCGGGUGCUAACGUCCGUCGUGAAGAGGGAAACAACCCAGACCGCCAGCUAAGGUCCCAAAGUCAUGGUUAAGUGGGAAACGAUGUGGGAAGGCCCAGACAGCCAGGAUGUUGGCUUAGAAGCAGCCAUCAUUUAAAGAAAGCGUAAUAGCUCACUGGUCGAGUCGGCCUGCGCGGAAGAUGUAACGGGGCUAAACCAUGCAC